RNAcentral lists this ribosomal RNA (746 nucleotides) under cyanobacterium enrichment culture clone 2_4_2.5.1_A05-T7. RNAcentral describes it as "bacterial SSU rRNA". It matches the Rfam family "Bacterial small subunit ribosomal RNA", at positions 9 to 797 of the family's 1533-position model. Lineage: Bacteria; Bacillati; Cyanobacteriota. The record is from RNAcentral.
GAGUUUGAUCCUGGCUCAGGAUGAACGCUGGCGGUCUGCUUAACACAUGCAAGUCGAACGGGUCCUUUCGGGGAUUAGUGGCGGACGGGUGAGUAACGCGUGAGAAUCUGCCUUCAGGUUCGGGACAACAGCUGGAAACGGCUGCUAAUACCGGAUGUGCCGAGAGGUGAAAGCUUAAGUGCCUGGAGAUGAGCUCGCGUCUGAUUAGCUAGUAGGAGUGGUAAUGGCACCCCUAGGCGACGAUCAGUAGCUGGUCUGAGAGGAUGAUCAGCCACACUGGGACUGAGACACGGCCCAGACUCCUACGGGAGGCAGCAGUGGGGAAUUUUCCGCAAUGGGCGCAAGCCUGACGGAGCAAGACCGCGUGAGGGAAGAAGGUCUGUGGAUUGUAAACCUCUUUUGAUCGGGAAGAAGACAGUGACGGUACCGAUCGAAUCAGCCUCGGCUAACUCCGUGCCAGCAGCCGCGGUAAUACGGAGGAGGCAAGCGUUAUCCGGAAUUAUUGGGCGUAAAGCGUCCGUAGGUGGGUAACCAAGUCAGUUGUUAAAUAGCGAAGCUUAACUUCAUAGAGGCGACUGAAACUGGUUAUCUAGAGUGUGGUAGGGGUAGAGGGAAUUUCCAGUGUAGCGGUGAAAUGCGUAGAUAUUGGAAAGAACACCGGUGGCGAAAGCGCUCUACUGGGCCUGCACUGACACUGAGGGACGAAAGCUAGGGGAGCGAAAGGGAUUAGAUACCCCUGUAGUCCU